RNAcentral lists this unclassified non-coding RNA (258 nucleotides) under Bombus terrestris (buff-tailed bumblebee). Its description in RNAcentral is "misc RNA ENSBTSG00005021556.1". The record is from RNAcentral. Lineage: Eukaryota; Metazoa; Arthropoda; Insecta; Hymenoptera; Apidae.
AAUGGGCGCUCAAUGGGCGCCGGUCAACAGUUUCCCGGGCGCGGAAUCGGCGCGCGCCAACCUACGUUCGCCGCAGACCGAGUAGAUGAAGGUGCAACCGUAUACAUCGUACAUUGAAAUUUGGUCAAUAGAAUUGUUCGGGAUUUGAAGUGGCCGUCUGUUUAUGACUCGAACAACACAUCAACGAGUCUGAAUUUUCCACGUUCCAAGUUGUAAACCUUACGAUGCGGACCACAUUAAGAGGCUAAUAAACACCCU